Long non-coding RNA from Austrofundulus limnaeus, 1161 nucleotides. RefSeq lists it as uncharacterized. Lineage: Eukaryota; Metazoa; Chordata; Actinopteri; Cyprinodontiformes; Rivulidae. The transcript is spliced from 3 exons. The record is from RefSeq and is a predicted model, not a curated record.
GACAUUUUAGUACAUUUUAAACUUAUCUUUAAAUAAAACUGCGUUUUUGAGGUAAAAGUUGAGUUUGAGUCAUUUAGUUAAAGAAAGUUAAGACUUUUCUUCCGCAAAACUAAAAGCAAAUUACUUUUCUUCCUCCCCAGAGGACUGCAUAGCACGUUUGAAACGGACAUGUUUUUAUAAAUUCUAAAUUUGUGGUUUUGUUUGUUUGGUUUUGCAGCUCAUCCAAAAUAAUAACGAUACGGUUGUGGUAUUUCCGACACAACCUGAAGUAUCCGCCCCGUUAACUCGAACUGUGUGGUUUGACAACUGUAUGGCUGCUUUGUGCGCGGAUACCGAGUUUCCCCAACACAGAAAACGGCUUCGAAAAGAAGAUAAAGCCUGGUCCUCAUUAGCAGCUCGGUUGUCAGGUCUUUGUUCCCCUGUAAAAGUUAAAAAAAAAAAAAAAAGGCUACGGAGCAACAUAGUGAGGUGUAAGUUAGCUAGUGCUAACUAAGCUAGCAGAGGAACGGUCACUGCAUGCAGCGCAGGAACUCCCCCACGCAAACGAUUUUACUUUUGUGUUAUCCACCACAUUCAGCCGAUGUUAGGGAAUGAUUUAUACGCGCCUUCCUGCUAAUACCUGAGCAGCAGGUAAUAGUUUGGUGCGUUAAAAAUAGGUGAAGCUAGCUAUCUGGCCUUCCAUCGGAAACGCCUCAUUAGUCAUCAAGCGUUUUAUCAUAACUAGCAGCUGGAUGCUGAGGAGGGGAAGUCGCUCCCUGACAGGACACAACAGCCACCUGCUCGUGUUUUGUUUUGUUUUUUUGUUUGUUUUUUUUUUUCAUCACCAGAAAUCCCACGUGUCAGCAGUGGAGUAGCUGCAACUCGUUGAUCUGGACGAACUGAGUGGUGCUUUCACGUGUCAUAACUUUGACUCGUACGGUCAAGGGAGGCGUUCACGUGCUCUGCGUUUUGUGAGCCUCGGUUCUGGAUGCGGGCUGGAAUUCACUUUAUCCCUGCAGCUGAUUCCUAGUACGUCCUGAUGCAUCUCAGUAAUCCAGAUUUGUGARAUGGGGAGUAAAAUGUCCUUUGGCAGAGGAAGCAGUGACCAAGACACGGUCUCAGGGUUUACUUCGGAGACACCUCUUCCUCACAGUUUCCUUCCCUCCUCUUCGGACUGCAAGC